Long non-coding RNA from Octodon degus (degu), 550 nucleotides. RefSeq lists it as uncharacterized. The transcript has 2 exons. The record is from RefSeq and is a predicted model, not a curated record. Lineage: Eukaryota; Metazoa; Chordata; Mammalia; Rodentia; Octodontidae.
ACUCGCACCAUCCGGGCCUCCAGCGCCUCACACACGUGUCACGGCGACGCUUAAAGGAGCCGCGCCCUGCGGCCGCACUGCGCUGACACAGAGAGGUCUAGACAGCUUUAAGAGGCGGAGCUGUCAGCUCUUUGGUUCCGCCCAUCUCCGCUUUACGCGCACUUACGUCACCGCCGUGUUCCCCAGCCCCUCCCCAUAGCCUACGUGAUGACGCAAAGCGCAGAAUUGAGAGUGUUCUGUCCCCUGGGCAGAAUUGCUGGAUGUUGCAACACUGCCCUUUGGGAAGCCUCACUUCUAGUACCACUGCUCGCCUGGCAUGCGUCAGAAUCACUAAGUAAGCUUCGCCCUCUUCGACUCUAUGUGAAGGUCUUCGUUGAGAGGUUGAAUAUUUGCAAAUGUAUGGCUCUGCAGUGAAGUUCCCCUCACUCGAAGCAGCUUCAUGGGCUUCCUCACGGCCCCAUUCCCCAAGGGAGGAGGACAUGUUUCCUCGCCUUACUUCAGGAACUCUUUGAGAAGCACAGGGUGAGAAUAAACUAUUUUUCCCAAAAGA